AGCGAACGCUGGCGGCAGGCCUAACACAUGCAAGUCGAACGAACCUUUCGGGGUUAGUGGCGGACGGGUGAGUAACACGUGGGAACGUGCCUUUAGGUUCGGAAUAACUCAGGGAAACUUGUGCUAAUACCGAAUGUGCCAUUCGGGGGAAAGAUUUGUCGCCUUUAGAGCGGCCCGCGUCUGAUUAGCUAGUUGGUUGAGGUAAUGGCUCACCAAGGCGACGAUCAGUAGCUGGUCUGAGAGGAUGAUCAGCCACAUUGGGACUGAGACACGGCCCAAACUCCUACGGGAGGCAGCAGUGGGGAAUCUUGCGCAAUGGGCGAAAGCCUGACGCAGCCAUGCCGCGUGAAUGAUGAAGGUCUUAGGAUUGUAAAAUUCUUUCACCGGGGACGAUAAUGACGGUACCCGGAGAAGAAGCCCCGGCUAACUUCGUG
This 434-nucleotide ribosomal RNA is filed under the name uncultured bacterium. RNAcentral describes it as "partial 16S ribosomal RNA". It matches the Rfam family "Bacterial small subunit ribosomal RNA", at positions 29 to 507 of the family's 1533-position model. The record is from RNAcentral.